Molecule: ribosomal RNA, 508 nt
Filed under: uncultured bacterium
Lineage: Bacteria
Description: partial 16S ribosomal RNA
Rfam family: Bacterial small subunit ribosomal RNA
Source: RNAcentral
GACGAACGCUGGCGGCGUGCUUAACACAUGCAAGUCGAACGAAGAGCGAUGGAAGCUUGCUUCUAUCAAUCUUAGUGGAACGGGUGAGUAACGCGUAAUCAACCUGCCCUUCAGAGGGGGACAACAGUUGGAAACGACUGCUAAUACCGCAUACGAUCUAAUCUCGGCAUCGAGGAUAGAUGAAAGGUGGCCUCUACAUGUAAGCUAUCACUGAAGGAGGGGAUUGCGUCUGAUUAGCUAGUUGGAGGGGUAACGGCCCACCAAGGCGAUGAUCAGUAGCCGGUCUGAGAGGAUGAACGGCCACAUUGGGACUGAGACACGGCCCAGACUCCUACGGGAGGCAGCAGUGGGGAAUCUUCCGCAAUGGACGAAAGUCUGACGGAGCAACGCCGCGUGAGUGAUGACGGCCUUCGGGUUGUAAAGCUCUGUUAAUCGGGACGAAAGGCCUUCUUGCGAAUAGUGAGAAGGAUUGACGGUACCGGAAUAGAAAGCCACGGCUAACUACGUG